This 491-nucleotide ribosomal RNA is filed under the name uncultured bacterium. RNAcentral describes it as "bacterial SSU rRNA". It matches the Rfam family "Bacterial small subunit ribosomal RNA", at positions 26 to 507 of the family's 1533-position model. The record is from RNAcentral.
AGGACGAACGCUGGCGGCGUGCUUAACACAUGCAAGUCGAACGAAAGGACGGGAAGAGCUUGCUCUUUCCGGAAUUGAGUGGCAAACGGGUGAGUAACACGUAAACAACCUGCCUUCAGGAUGGGGACAACAGACGGAAACGACUGCUAAUACCGAAUAAGUUCCAAGAGCCGCAUGGCCCAUGGAAGAAAAGGUGGCCUCUACCUGUAAGCUAUCGCCUGAAGAGGGGUUUGCGUCUGAUCAGGCAGUUGGUGAGGUAACGGCCCACCAAACCUACGAUCAGUAGCCGGUCUGAGAGGAUGAACGGCCACACUGGAACUGAGACACGGUCCAGACUCCUACGGGAGGCAGCAGUGGGGAAUAUUGCACAAUGGGGGAAACCCUGAUGCAGCGACGCCGCGUGAGUGAAGAAGUAUUUCGGUAUGUAAAGCUCUAUCAGCAGGGAAGAAGAAAUGACGGUACCUGACUAAGAAGCCCCGGCUAACUACGUG